CUACGGGGUGCUGCAGUAAGGAAUAUUGCGCAAUGGAGGCAACUCUGACGCAGCCAUGCCGCGUGCAGGAAGAAGGCCUUAUGGGUCGUAAACUGCUUUUAUUUAGGAAUAAACCCCCGACCGUGUUCGGGGCUGAAGGUACUAAACGAAUAAGCACCGGCUAACUCCGUGCCAGCAGCCGCGGUAAUACGGAGGGUGCAAGCGUUAUCCGGAUUUAUUGGGUUUAAAGGGUGCGCAGGCGGGCUAUUAAGUCAGUGGUGAAAUCCCGGGGCUCAACUCCGGAACUGCCAUUGAUACUGAUAGUCUUGAGUUUGGUUGAAGUGGGCGGAAUGUAGCAUGUAGCGGUGAAAUGCAUAGAUAUGCUACAGAACACCAAUCGCGAAGGCAGCUCACUAAGCCAAAACUGACGCUCAUGCACGAAAGCGUGGGGAUCAAACAGGAUUAGAUACCCCCGUAGUC
Molecule: ribosomal RNA, 459 nt
Filed under: uncultured bacterium
Lineage: Bacteria
Description: partial 16S ribosomal RNA
Rfam family: Bacterial small subunit ribosomal RNA
Source: RNAcentral